UACGUAGGGGGCGAGCGUUGUCCGGAUUUAUUGGGCGUAAAGAGCGUGUAGGCGGUUCGGUAAGUCUGUCGUGAAAUCCUGAGGCUCAACCUCGGGCGUGCGGUGGAUACUGCCGGGCUAGAGGAUGGUAGAGGCGAGUGGAAUUCCCGGUGUAGCGGUGAAAUGCGCAGAUAUCGGGAGGAACAUCAGUGGCGAAGGCGGCCCUCUGGUCCAGUACUGACACUCAAGUGCGAAAGCGUGGGGAGCAAACAGG
Molecule: ribosomal RNA, 253 nt
Filed under: uncultured bacterium
Lineage: Bacteria
Description: partial 16S ribosomal RNA
Rfam family: Bacterial small subunit ribosomal RNA
Source: RNAcentral